GAUGAACGCUGGCGGCGUGCCUAAUACAUGCAAGUCGAGCGAACGGACGAGAAGCUUGCUUCUCUGAUGUUAGCGGCGGACGGGUGAGUAACACGUGGAUAACCUACCUAUAAGACUGGGAUAACUUCGGGAAACCGGAGCUAAUACCGGAUAAUAUUUUGAACCGCAUGGUUCAAAAGUGAAAGACGGUCUUGCUGUCACUUAUAGAUGGAUCCGCGCUGCAUUAGCUAGUUGGUAAGGUAACGGCUUACCAAGGCAACGAUGCAUAGCCGACCUGAGAGGGUGAUCGGCCACACUGGAACUGAGACACGGUCCAGACUCCUACGGGAGGCAGCAGUAGGGAAUCUUCCGCAAUGGGCGAAAGCCUGACGGAGCAACGCCGCGUGAGUGAUGAAGGUCUUCGGAUCGUAAAACUCUGUUAUUAGGGAAGAACAUAUGUGGAAGGAACUGUGCACAUCUUGACGGUACCUAAUCAGAAAGCCACGGCUAACUACGUG
This 497-nucleotide ribosomal RNA is filed under the name uncultured bacterium. RNAcentral describes it as "partial 16S ribosomal RNA". It matches the Rfam family "Bacterial small subunit ribosomal RNA", at positions 28 to 507 of the family's 1533-position model. The record is from RNAcentral.